Mus caroli (Ryukyu mouse) is the source of this 2348-nucleotide non-coding RNA. The record is from RefSeq and is a predicted model, not a curated record. Lineage: Eukaryota; Metazoa; Chordata; Mammalia; Rodentia; Muridae.
CUUUGCUGCAGCCUGCCGGGCGCAGUUCGCGUGAUUAAGCAGAUGCCUUUCCUGGUGCUAGUAGGAACUCUCACCACCACCACCCCCAUUCCCCUCCAACCUUUGCUAGAGGAGAGAAGCCAGAGCCUGGAGGCCAAGUCCUUCAAACUCCAUUGCGACUCCUCCCGUCAGGGCGCGGCCUAAAGCCCACGGCGGAACGCUGGACUUAGACCAGGGAUGUCAGCAGGUCAGGCUUCUGUCAGUCGGAGCAGAGGCUCUCCGGUAAAGGUGGGUGCUGUCAUCGGGGAAGUGACCAGGCCUGGCUCACCUGUACUCCAGAGAGCGUGAGAAGGCGGUGCCCCUGCGAAGCCGCCUGGUCAGUGGCGAACCCAGAGGCAGGGUAGGAGGGAGUGUGGUGGAGCUGGCCAGCGCUCAGACACGCAAGCAGAGCCGGGAGAACUGAGGGCCAGCUUCAUGUCCUCUGACGUGGCACUGUGGGUCACUCUGUAAAGCUAACAUUUGUCUUUAGAGAGCCAGGUUUCCAAACUCUUUCUACACAGAACACAUGGUAGCCUCAACUUUAAGUCCCUAAAAAGAAGCAGCAACCCCAACCCUAGGAUGGCUAGAGCUAAAUAAUAGCAAGGCCUUGUCUAGAUAAAUAAAUAAAUAAUAAAAUGCAAGGUCUCCACUCUCAGGCCCCCAAGGGUAGAGAUGUUAAAGGGACAGCUGUGCUGGCUCCCAUCUCUGACUCCAUCCUAAGGUAGGGACAGAACUCGAUGCCUGCUACAGACUGGCUGGCAUCAUGCAGCCAAGCUAACCUGGCCUCUGAGUGACAGACUCCGGUUUUAGGCCCAGUCUGUGCCCAUAUCCUCUGCUCUGUUGACUGAAACCUCUCUGGGCAUCAGGAGAGCCACUGGGCAGUUUGAGGACUUGAAUGGCAUACUUUAAUGCAUAUGCAAAGGCAAUGGGCACAAACUGGGACUGCCUGAGGCAGGCAGGGCACAUGGUGACUCCUGAGUUUAUGGGUGCCCCCACCAUUACAUGGGUACCUCCUCUUUGCCUGGGGACUCUUCAUUUAUUUGGAAGUUGGGCACAUCAUCUCCAGUUCCCUGGAGUCCUAUGUAGUCAGCAUCUGGUACAAAGCUGUUAUAGCCUAGGCUGUACUUCAGAGCACACAGGAUUCCCAUGCAUGAAGGCUAUGUCAGGACUCCCUGUGGCUUCUGACACUGUGACCAGCACUUGGUAACCAUGUAUUCUUUGUAGUGCUACCCAGUCAGCCUCUCCCAGGCUGCACUGUCUGGUGUGGUGGCUCCUGGGCAGUUACAUAGAGCUGCUUCACGCUGAGCUGAACUGUGAACAUAAAGCACAUCAGACAGGUGAGAAUUCAUUGGUGAGUGUUUAUUGAAUGUUGAGUAUUCUGAGAGAAUUGGGUUGAAUAAAACUUCUUAUUAAAUGUGAUAUGUCUUUUCUUUAACUAGGAAGUAUAAAACUCCAAAUGUAGCUGUCAGUACAUUUCUCCCAGACAGUCCUAGCCUAGAUGCUGUGUACUUGACAUUCCUUACUCUAGGGCUUAUGGCCUCCUUGAGUCAGGAAGCCACAUGGUACUGUUUCCUUUCUGGCACUGAGAAGCCAGGGGCAGACCUCUGAAGACUGCUACAGGAAGAGGUAGCAGUCUUGGUAAAGAGAGGGUGUCUCUUGGCCUCGAGUCUCUGUCCCUCAUGCCUGCUAGCAGGUGUGGUUCCAGCCUCAGUGUUCCUGAGAGUCUGUGCCUGCUCUGUUUUUGGCACCAUGCUCAGCCCCCGACAAACCCUCAGCAUGGACACAGAACCUGAAGAGAAGAAAGUGUCAGCUCCCAGGAGCCAGGGCUCCCUGAGUGGUCCCAGCCAAAAGUGUGGUAGGGCCACCGGGAUAGAAAGAACUGAUCGGGGGAGGGAGGGUUCCUAAAGGAUAAGGAGGUGAUGGGCUGAGGAGAGUUGUAUGCCAUUUGUUUCCAGGCUCUAUAGUGUAUACCAGUGUGCCAUCCGGGCUGGCUCCCACGUGGCCAAGGAAUACAGCUGGCAUCAAUCAGAUCCACAUCCCUGAGAGGACUGCAUCAACUCUUUUGGAAACUGUCUUCCCACCUUGAUGCCCUGCGCUGGGCAGCUUCUGAAAAUGGUGUGUCCUCAUGGCAACCUCUGUAUUUCUGUGUAAGAGAGGGUUUGGAUUUGGUUAUUUCAGUGUUGGGUGGCCCUUUCUCUGUCACACUCCCCCAAAAGUGAAUCAAACCACACUCCAAGUUUAGCAAAAUGUGGACAACCAUCAGUAUCAUUUUUAUUGCAAAUUAGUUAACAAAAAAAGAUGAAAAAAAUACAUCAUUUUCAUUACCUACA